CUUACCAGGUCUUGACAUCCCUCUGACCGGCUUAGAGAUAAGCCUUUCCUUCGGGACAGAGGUGACAGGUGGUGCAUGGUUGUCGUCAGCUCGUGUCGUGAGAUGUUGGGUUAAGUCCCGCAACGAGCGCAACCCUUGAACUUAGUUGCCAGCAGGUUGAGCUGGGCACUCUAAGUUGACUGCCGGUGACAAACCGGAGGAAGGCGGGGAUGACGUCAAAUCAUCAUGCCCCUUAUGACCUGGGCUACACACGUACUACAAUGGCCGGUACAACGGGAAGCGAAGGAGCGAUCCGGAGCCAAUCCUAUAAAAGCCGGUCUCAGUUCGGAUUGCAGGCUGCCACUCGCCUGCAUGAAGUCUGAAUUGCUGGGAAUC
RNAcentral lists this ribosomal RNA (375 nucleotides) under Paenibacillus sp. SPT-72. RNAcentral's name for it is "bacterial SSU rRNA". It matches the Rfam family "Bacterial small subunit ribosomal RNA", at positions 970 to 1343 of the family's 1533-position model. The record is from RNAcentral. Lineage: Bacteria; Bacillati; Bacillota; Bacilli; Caryophanales; Paenibacillaceae.